UUAUAAUAUUGAAAAUAUAUUAAAUUUUUUAAUAAAUAAAAAUUAUAGUAAGUAUUAAAAAGAAACAAGAGAUAGAAUUAUAACUUCCAAAUAUUACAAAUAAAAAAGAAUUGUACUGUGAAUUCACAAUUCUUCCAUUCUCUAUCUUCUCUCCACUUUAAAAGAUCCUUCCAAGAGUUUUACAUCUGACAAACCAAAUAUUUACUUUGUCUCAACGAUUUCAAUUUACAGAAUGAAGAAGUCAGAACCAUUGGAACUCGUAGAGCUACCAGCUUGAGAUGCCAGAUAUUUGAAAACGUUAAAGAUCCAAAUGUGAGUCGCGCUUGGGUCUAUUGGUAGAUCGCAAUAAUUGGAAUCGGCAUUAGGAUUCGACAGGCUAAUAGCUCGGCCGCCGAGAUACGAGCUGCAAUACGGUUUAUUGGCACAAGGGCGAACAGCACCGUUCAUAUCGAGUUUCUGCAACACCGGCGACGAUAUUUGUAGUCGAGUCAGCUGCGCCUCUCGAAUAACUCCUGUCCCAUGUGUUCCGCGCGCGAACACGCGCGCCAGCUAUGCACGAUGACGAACGUGCAAUCAUUUUAAUAGAAAUGAUACGUGUGAUCGAUGAUCAAGAUAUGACGAGUGUCGUGGGAAUCGAUUGGAACAUUAAAUGAAUAUUUUGAGAGAAAGAAUGAUUUGAAAUAAGAUAAUUAAGAUCCAAAAAAAAAAGGAAAGUAAGAUCAUUAUGAUGAGAGUUCAAAAUUUUUCUAAAAUUUAAACAUUGUAAGUAAUAUUGAUGUAAAGAUCAUUGAAAAUAAUCAAAGUUAUUGAAUAAUUUUUUUUUUCUUUUUCAGGUAUUUAAAGGUAUUUCUUUUCAUUCCCUCAUCAUCAAAUACAAUUCAAUUUAUUAUAAUUAAUUUUCUCUAAAAUUUAACCACUUUCAAUUACAUCAAGAAUUCAAUCAUCAAUUGUCCGCAAACUAUUUCCAUUGUCAUUCUCUUUGUCGACAUCUGUUCAAGAAAAUCUCAUAUCUUGGAACGUGUUUUUCGCUAACCGCAGGUAGAUUAGAUAUCGGUUCGUACGAGGCUGUUGAACCGUGGCUCGCUCGUUCUCCACUGUCUCUCUGCUAUAUUAUGCAAAUGCACAUAGCAACGUUGCAGCCAGGCAAGUGGUUAAUAAUACAUCUGUGAGUAAUAGGCCACGCUAGUUUCCGUUUACCUGGUUGGCCAAGAUUAAGGGCUUUCAGGCCGAGGACACGCUCGAUAGAUUCGGGCUUUCUUCGAGAGAGGAAGUCGCCAGCCAUGCCCCUCCCCCCCCUCCUUGCCGCCUACGUUUGAUUAUGGAUCAUGAUUGAAAUCGGAGUCGAGAUUGCGACUACAAAUUUACAAGUGCACACCGGAUAAUUUGGAUAACGAGGCUCAAGUUGAAUUGGAAUUGAUAUUGGUAGGAAUAUUCGAAGCUCUUAAGUUCGUUGUUUUCGUAUGAAGUUUGAUUGGGAAUAAUUCAAUUUUAUUUAAAGAAAGAAAAAAGGGAGAAAAAAAUUGGAAACAAGAAAAGAAUUAAAUCCGCAGAGACUAGCAAGGUGUUUACGAUUCUUAAAAGAGUUUAUUGUUCAAAGAUUUUAUGGGAGAAUUUAUACCUGAAAUUUAAUGCUCCUCACUAACGAGUGAUUCUAAUAAUGUUUCCUUUUAUUACUUCCGCGCGCUAUUUUUAAGUAUGCGCUCAGAUCUUGGAUAGUAAACCACUUCCUCCGCCCCAUAUCUCUACUCCAAUAACCGUAAAUUUUGAUUGUCUUUGCGUGACAGAUACUUCACUAGGCUAUUCUCUCACGUGGAAAAUCAUCCGCGUUUUGCAAGCUCGUCGCGUCCACGAGAUCUAAUGGUAAAAUAUCUGAAUCAUUAUUUUUCUCGUGUUGAAAAAUUGACAUCAAAAAGGGUUAAGAAAAUUCAACGAAACAGAAUCUACUCUGGCUAUGAUUGAAUAUAAAAUUCAAAAAUAAUUUUUGAAAUUUUUCUACGUCAACGAAGAUUGACAUGUCCAAAAGAUCCAAGAAAAUAAAAAUUUAUUUUAUAUACAUACAUUUAAAUUUUCUGAGAAAUAAUUUUUGAAAUUUCCUUUAUCAAUCUAGGUGGCUCGAGAGUUAAAAAAGAAUUCAGGAAAAUAUUCCAUAGAGAGAGAAAAGUAAAUAAGAAACUGGUUGGAAUACAUCAAACAAAAUACAGCAUCCCAGUGGCACGAUAUAAAAUUUCCAACGUGGUCAGGAUUGAUGAUCCGGCAAUAUGUCUCUCGUGAAACACGAGGCACCGUGUUUCCACGAGCUACGUUUCCAGAGUAAGUGGUCGAGAUGAAAGCUGGGCAAAGGCGUCAGGUGCGAUCAACCGUUUUCAAUAAGUUAUACCAGACCGUCCAUCCCCCAUCGAUCCUUGAGAUCAUCGUGUCAGCACGAGGAUCGCUUUCGAUUUUUGCGUGCUGGAUUUUGUAAAGAUAUAUCUUGUUUGAAUUUGCUAUUGGAAAUGCUUCUGAGAAUUUUAUCGAUAGCCUUUGAUGUUAAAUCAGUGUGAAAUUUUUAAGAAUUUUUUAUUAGCUUUGAUAUUGGGAAUUUCUGAAAAAUGAAAAAUUUCUAAAAAUUGGAAGAUUCAACUUAAUUUUGAUACUUGAAACGUAUCGAAAAUAUUUUCAAUAAUUCUAAAAAUUGAGAUUUUUUCUGUGUGGAAAUAUUUCUAAAUUAUGGUAAUCUUUACAAGUUAAUUUUUAUUAUCGCGUUAAUCUUAUCAAAAGAUUUUGAAAAAUCUAUGACUAGCCACGCGUGAACAAAUGUCGUAAACAUAGAAAACACUGUACCGAUUCUAUCGUCAACAGCGAUAAAUCAAUAUUUCAUAUCGAUAACUGUAACGAUACUUUGUGGAUGGCCUUGCUGUAAAAUUCGAAAGCAAUUUAAUAGCAAUUAAAACAAACGAGGAAUGAACGGUUGAAUAAUUUAACGAGUGAUAAAACGUUUGUUAAGGCCAAUUAUCGAUGUACAUUAACACAUACCGAUGAUCGUGCAACAUACAAACCAGUGAAUAGAUUAACAGGAAGCCAUUGACAACAAAGUUUCCUUUUGACAAACAAUGAUCUCACUUCGCUAUCGCUCGAAGAAAUUCAAUAGAUGAUUUCACCUAAACGAUAAUAUUGUAAUGUGAAGCAUAAGUAGAAACAAUGACAAUUGAUAGAUGGAUAUGAAUGCUUAGAAGUUGAAAUUAAGUAUGAAAUUAAAAGUUAAAUGAUACUAAGAAUUUUUAGCAUAUAGAAGUAAAAACUAUUUGAGUAAUUUGACUGAUUGCAUGUAGACAAAAACAAUAUAAAGUAUACUUUGACAAUGGAUAAUUGGAUAUAUAACUUUAGAAAUUGAAGUCAAAGUUAAAUAUCAAAAUUUUUUAUAUAUAAAUAAUUUGAUUAUUUAUAAUUGAAUACAAUAAGUUACAUUUUUUGAAAACUUGAUAGAUUAAUAUGUUAAUAAAAGCCACAAUAACUUUGAGAUAUUAAAAAAGAGUAUAACUCAAAAGAAGGUUGAGAGACACUGAUCUCUCAACUCUGAUCCAAGAGUAAAGUCAAUUUCGAAACAAUAUCUUCUGUUCUCAGUAGAAACCUGGCAUCAAGCACGAAGACAAACCUAAAUUUCACCAUUGCUAACUUGAACAAACGGCAACAUACGUUAAUACUCUGAGGACACAAAGCGAUAUCAAAGUCUGAAAGCCGAGCAUUGCUGUAUCACAAAGUAGAAUCUUCUGACUUGUCAACUACAGAUUGAGUGCUGUACAUUCCGGUUGACUUCUAAAGGACUGGCAUACAAUCGCUGGAAGUGGAUACUGUAUUCAGCCAGACGGCUGUCAUCCAGCUGUACCCUGGCGAUUAGCUCCAAUCACAAGAAGAAUCAUUCUCCAUCAUUUUUAUCAGUGAAAAAUCAAAAUCCCUAGAGGAUUCCUAGAUAAAUUUUUCCAAACAAACAACUUACGAUCUUUGAAUCACACAACUUUUGAAGAUUACUGCAUGCACAUAGGGAGGCUGUGCUAACUGUAGCGGUGCUCAAGGACUGGCGGAGAUCCGUGAAUCGUAACGGAUCGAAGGUCUUGGCCGGAAUUUAUUUUUUCGUUCGAUUUUACGUGAAGUAUGUGAACAUAGACAGCAAGUUUUACGAUUUCUUUCCUUCUUUUUUAUUUCUCCUAUUAUCGUGAUUUUUAUUUAUAAUAUCAUUGAACAUGAUUUUUCAACUAAAGAUUAAUACUAAUUCUUUAGUUACAAUUGAUAAUUGAUUACUGGAUAAUUAUAAUAUAAAUAAAUUGAUCAUCAGUAACAAAACCAUUACUGAUAUUGUAUAAUAAUUAAAUUACAACUCAAUUACUUAUUUUCCAUAUACUGUAUCUUUUAUAAGGAUUAAUAAUGGAUGCAACGUGUUUAAAAAUUUGCAACUCUAUGCAUUUCAAAAGUUUAGGGAGCGACGAACGGCAACAAACGAGCCAUUUUGGGGGGUCAAAGUUAUUCACGCCGGUGUGUAGCUGCGGCCAAACAGCGGUGGAGCUAAGAAGUAACAGCGGUGGAGGUUUAAUCUGGCCGAUGCCAGAUUCGUGGUAAAUCUUUGAUGACUUUGCGGCGAACGGUGCUGCCACGGCCAACCUAUAUUUGCCUUCGUAAUUCAUGGAAGCGGAUAAUAUCUCGUAUUAUCGCGUUAAUUAGUCACUCUUUAACCCUACACAUUAAUUUAGGAUAUAUAUUUUAUACCCUAGGAAAAUGUAAAUUAUGGAACGUUCCGUUAAUAAUAAUGGAAAUUUGAAGAAGAAAAGUUAAGAAAGCUAAGAAAAUAGUUACAAUACAAAGGAUUGAUAUAAGAUAUAUUUGAAUAAUGUGAUAUUUUGAAUAUAUCAGAUAUAUAACAUUUGUACUCCUAAAUAGACUUUUACUGAUUCACAAUACACAUUUCUUAUUCUUAUUCUUUAUAUUAUUAAGAUAAAGCAAGGUUAUAUCGAAUAAUUAAUAAUGUUAACAUCAAAGAUUGAAAAGAAGAGGUUCAAAAGAAACGUGAAAAUCAACUUUACGCUCGAUCACGAAAAAUAUCUUCCUCAACUCGAAGCAAAAAUACUAAGAAUCUCUUUCUUUCUUUCCAGGAAAGUGUAUUCAAGUAUUCUCAAGGAAUCUCGUAUGAUUUACGAUGAGAGAGAGAGAGAGAGAGUUGCCUACGAAACGGCGAGGAAAAUUAUUUUCGUAUCCGUCCCACUUUCAAGAACCAGUCAGCGAUUUACACUCCUGAUACGUCGAUUCCGUGGCCCUUGUGCGACAAUGUACAACAUCCCUCCAUACCUUAAAAAUGAAAGCAACAAAAAUGCAUUCCGCCGAGGCGGAAUGCGCGCACGUCGCACAGGAAACGGAGACACCGAUUUCUCCUUUAUUUCUGCUUCGUGGUGAUAUGUCUCGACAGAAAUAUCCCUUGUUCGUGAGCUUUGAUAUUCGUAGGUGGACGUAUACGUAUGUAUCGUUUCGAGUAUCGAGAUCUUUUUCUUUGUCAAGAAGUUGUGCAUCUCUUUUUUGAAGAUCUUGAAUUUGGUUAGGUAUAUAUACAAUUUCGAGUAUAUAAGAUCUCUUUCUUUCGUAAGUAGUUGUACUUUCUUUUGUUGAAGAUCUUGAAUUUGGUUAUACUUAGAAUAUCUAUAAUCUUUUUUUUUUCUUUUAUGUUUGUCUCUUUUUCAGAUUUUAGGUUAUGUGAAUAUUUUAGGUAUUUAAGAUUUUAGGUUAAGUGAAUUUCUUUCUUAAAGAUUUUUUUUUCAGUUUCAGGAAUUAAUGUGAACAUGUAACCGAACACUAAUGUAUUCUUAUGAUUACUGAUAUAUUAUUUAUCUCCCUAUGGAUAAAAUUUGGGGACAGAAUAGAUCCAACGUAAUCCUUGCAUGUUAUAAAAGACAACUAAAAGGGAAGUCAUUAAUGAGUAAUGCUUGACAAAUUUAUGGAGUAUGCAAUUAUGGUGUAUCCGACAAAGAUCAAUAAAUAAUUCAAAGUGUGGAAGAACGAAAAGGAUUCAUCGAUAUCCCUGGCAAUUGUGUCAGAAUUCGACGAUACACACACGUUAGCAAACAAAAUGGCGACAAGCCGAACUGAUUUUAUUCACGACCUUUGUCGCGGAAGUACUUUAGAUGCGGGUGGUGGGCCGCAGAGGAAAAAUAGCGGAAAGUUUUCCAUUUUAGAUGGGCCACCGAUAAAGGAAAGAGAGGCACGUAUAAUGGGACGUGUCUUCUCUACGAUUCCGCCUCAAGAACGAUCUGCUUGCACUUCUAUCUAUAAUUCAUCCUCAGAAAUCAUCCUCGUACAUUCAGACUUAUUUCAUUAUUUUUUUUCUAUUUAUUUCAAUUUUCUUUCUACCAUAAUAAAUGCAACAGAGAAAAGAAUUAGGUACAAAUAAUAUAUGAUUGAUAAUUUAGAGAAUACAAAUUUCUAGAAGAAAGAUUAGAAUACAAAUUUCUGUAUAACUGGGAGCAAUGUUUUGAUUAUUAUUGGCUUAUUUGUGGGACGAACAGUAAUCAGAAUGGUUGAUUAAGUCUUUAAAUGGAUUCAAUUGUUAUUUGAUUGAGAAAUAUAAACAAUAUAUAGCUACCUAAUAUAGUCAUAAUUGUGUAUUCAUUCUCUUUGUAGGAAGCAAUGUUGUACACAUCUUCAAAAAGAGGAAAGCAGAAUUAAAUCAUUAACAUAAUAUUAGCUGUAAAACACUUUACAGUUCUUGGCUUUCGUUAUUAUGAAGACACAGUUCAAAAGAUAAAUUCUAUGGUUUAAACCAUAAUGCAGAUAAACUGAAACUAAAUCAUCAAGUUAUUUUAAUAAGUUUGACCUCCAUAACUGAACUUCUAUAUGCAUUAAUUCAUAAUCCAUAAUUUUAUUGAGAGCAAUUAAUAUGAUCAAUAAAAAAAAAAAGAUAUCGUCCCUUGUUUAUCAACUUGUUGUUCAACUUUUAUAAAUAAAGUUUUUUCGUGUCUCCAAAAAUAGCAGAGGCAAUUAAGGUAAGCAAAGCUGUUAGUUCACCCUUUGUACGUAUAUAUACGCCUUUUCUAAAAUCUCUUUUUGGCGGAUUAUCGUCGAGCACUGUACUGCGCGCACAAAACUGUGUUAUACUGAGAGAAGUUUCCCGUACAAAUGCGUCGCUGGAAAUUCGCCUCGUUAAUAGACACAUUCGCAGAAAUGCGUUGUAUCAUUAAAGCAAUUGUCUUAUAUUGCUAAUCCUAUUAUCACCAUACCAUUCCCAAUGUAUGCGAAGAUAUUUCCAAAUUGCGACGAUCAUCCUUAUAUUGCUUGAAAAUUUUCGCAAUAAAUGAAUUCUAAAAUCUCGAUUACAAAUUUUAAAAUAUCAUUGAAGAAGAUAGAGAUAUGUAUGAAACACUUUAUCAUCCUCGAUUUAAUGUAUUAACAUUCUUCUUUCGAUAGAAUCUAACCUCAAAAUGAUACUGAUUUAAAAAUGCAUUUCAUUAAUUUACAAACAAAAAUUGCUAAAUCUUCAUUAAAGAAUGAUCAAAAACAGUGCAAAAUAUAAUUGAAUUAACAAAAUUUUUCUCAAGUUAAUAUCUCUAACUUCUAAAGGCACAAAAUCUCAAGGACUCUUUUCAAGAUUCGACAUAUAUUUACGAAGCAUUUUUUCUCAAUAUUUUUCUUCGACACAUACUCGUUCUUUCAAUACGAUAACCUUAUCGUGCCCAGUUUUCUUUCAGCUCUCGUGCGUUUCCACACAAAACGUCCCACGUUCGAGGGUCCAUAGUCUUCGAAGAAUUAUUUACGAGGAUGCAGUGAACGAGAACGUAAUAAACAUCGAAGCCGAUUACGGAACAGAAGUCGAAGGCGCGCCAAUGGAUGACGUUUCCUAGUCGAAACAAUGGAACUAUUUCGUGGAAGGCUGUACCUAGGAGAUUAGCGGAAAGAGGGUGUCGAUGGAAUUGGUCAGUCGAGUGGAACGUUUCCUGGGAUGAUUUUCCAUGAGAAUUAUGGGCACGGUUUCCAUGGAAAUUUAUAAUUAAUUUUUGUAAAAAAAAUUAGAUAUUUUAGAAUAUUGUAAUUGUGAUUUUGAAUCAAUUUUUUUUAAAUAACUUUUAAUAUUUUAGGAUUGAACUGUAUUAUAAUUUUAAUGCUGAGAUGAAUUUUCACAAGAAUUUUCAAUAUUUUGUAAUAUUAAAAUAUCCAUCUAUUCAAUAUUCACACAAAGCCAAAUAAUAUUCCAAUAGCCAUACAAUCUUUCCAUUUCUAUAAAUUUCCAAUAUUUAAAUUUUACAAUAAAUAUAUACAUCCAUCCAUCUAGCAUAGUACAAUAUUUCUCCAAAAAUCUUAAUUUCCCUAUGUUUAGUUAUGAAAUCUUUUUACCGAUCAUCGGUAACCGAUCAACAAGAAAGAUAUUUUCACUAUUAAAAAGUUAGACAGAAUCUUAUAACUUUUUGAACGCAGGUUUUUCACGAUCUUGAAACGAAAGUAAAUAUCAUGUAUAUUUACGAUCAUAGCAUGAGAAAAAAAAGAGAUAUAUGUAUAUUUUAUACAAUAGAUUGGCAUAUCGAUAUUCCGGAACGACACAGAUCUACAUGAACGAAUUGGGAGCUGAUUAUUGAUUCUUUUUCUCGUAUAUUUCACUAUAUUCCUUCGUCAACGAUUACAUACUAAUAUUCUGUUUGAAUGUUUAUUCAAAUGUGAUUUUUUCUAAUUGGCAUUCUUUAUGGAGAAAGAAUUUAUAUGCAAUUAUGAGAAUAUA
Molecule: long non-coding RNA, 8722 nt
Organism: Apis mellifera (honey bee)
Lineage: Eukaryota; Metazoa; Arthropoda; Insecta; Hymenoptera; Apidae
Exons: 11
Source: RefSeq, a predicted model, not a curated record